RNAcentral lists this ribosomal RNA (253 nucleotides) under uncultured bacterium. Its description in RNAcentral is "partial 16S ribosomal RNA". It matches the Rfam family "Bacterial small subunit ribosomal RNA", at positions 524 to 776 of the family's 1533-position model. The record is from RNAcentral.
UACGUAGGGUGCGAGCGUUGUCCGGAAUUAUUGGGCGUAAAGAGCUCGUAGGCGGUCUGUCGCGUCUGCUGUGAAAACCCGAGGCUCAACCUCGGGCCUGCAGUGGGUACGGGCAGACUAGAGUGCGGUAGGGGAGAAUGGAACUCCUGGUGUAGCGGUGAAAUGCGCAGAUAUCGGGAGGAACACCGGUGGCGAAGGCGGUUCUCUGGGCCGACACUGACACUGAGAGACGAAAGCUAGGGGAGCGAAUGGG